GAUGAACGCUGGCGGCGUGCCUAAUACAUGCAAGUCGAGCGAACAGACGAGGAGCUUGCUCCUCUGACGUUAGCGGCGGACGGGUGAGUAACACGUGGAUAACCUACCUAUAAGACUGGGAUAACUUCGGGAAACCGGAGCUAAUACCGGAUAAUAUAUUGAACCGCAUGGUUCAAUAGUGAAAGACGGUUUUGCUGUCACUUAUAGAUGGAUCCGCGCCGCAUUAGCUAGUUGGUAAGGUAACGGCUUACCAAGGCAACGAUGCGUAGCCGACCUGAGAGGGUGAUCGGCCACACUGGAACGGAGACACGGUCCAGACGCCUACGGGAGGCAGCAGUAGGGAAUCUUCCGCAAUGGGCGAAAGCCUGACGGAGCAACGCCGCGUGAGUGAUGAAGGUCUUCGGAUCGUAAAACUCGGUUAUUAGGGAAGAACAAAUGUGUAAGUAGCUAUGCACGUCUUGACGGUACCUAAUCAGAAAGCCACGGCUAACUACGUG
Molecule: ribosomal RNA, 497 nt
Filed under: uncultured bacterium
Lineage: Bacteria
Description: partial 16S ribosomal RNA
Rfam family: Bacterial small subunit ribosomal RNA
Source: RNAcentral